GGCCUUUAGAAGUAGUAAAAGUCUUACUGCUAAUGAUGGUUUAGAUCGAAAAUCUUCAGCUCCCAGAGAACAUAGUUCAAAGAUCCCAUCCAUUCCAUCUAGCGAAAACUAAUUUUCAGUGCAUAGUAGAAUGAGAGUUUGAUCGAGUCGGAUGGUGCGGUGGGCUCACGAUGAGAUGGAGCACAAAUGAGAUGCGGCGAGGCUGGUGCUGAGGAACCAAGAGUAGCAACUA
Molecule: long non-coding RNA, 232 nt
Filed under: Elaeis guineensis (African oil palm)
Lineage: Eukaryota; Viridiplantae; Streptophyta; Magnoliopsida; Arecales; Arecaceae
Description: long non-coding RNA (EGUI_LNC022383)
Source: RNAcentral